Molecule: ribosomal RNA, 331 nt
Filed under: uncultured eukaryote
Lineage: Eukaryota
Description: partial 18S ribosomal RNA
Rfam family: Eukaryotic small subunit ribosomal RNA
Source: RNAcentral
CCCUUAGAUGUUCUGGGCCGCACGCGCGUUACACUGACGAAGUCAGCGAGCAUGUCCUACGCCGACAGGUGCGGGGAAUCUUGUCAAACUUCGUCGUGAUGGGGAUUGAUUAUUGAAAUUCUUGAUCAUCAACGAGGAAUUCCUAGUAAGCGCAAGUCAGCAGCUUGCGUUGAUUACGUCCCUGCCCUUUGUACACACCGCCCGUCGCUACUACCGAUUGAAUGGUUUAGUGAGAUCUUCGGAUUGGCGCCACUGCGGCUCAGCAAUGGGCUCAGUGGAUGCCGAAAAGUUGAUCAAACUUGAUCAUUUAGAGGAAGUAAAAGUCGUAACA